Molecule: non-coding RNA, 236 nt
Filed under: Thermodesulfatator indicus
Lineage: Bacteria; Pseudomonadati; Thermodesulfobacteriota; Thermodesulfobacteria; Thermodesulfobacteriales; Thermodesulfatatoraceae
Also listed under: 1 other name
Source: RNAcentral
AUUAAUUUUCUUGCCCUAGGUGCCCCGCUACAACAAACAGAGUUGGGGCGGGGUUAAACGGGAAGUCCGGUGAAAAUCCGGCGCUGGCCCGCAACCGUAACCGGGGACGAAAGCCGCUAGGCCCAAUUGGGCGACAGGCCACUGGGGCUUAAGGCCGAAAGGCCAAAGGCCCUGGGAAGGCGCGGUGAGUAGGAUGAUCCGGAAGCCGGGAGACCGGCCUAGGGCAUGCUAGGACG